This 633-nucleotide ribosomal RNA is filed under the name uncultured bacterium. Its description in RNAcentral is "bacterial SSU rRNA". It matches the Rfam family "Bacterial small subunit ribosomal RNA", at positions 765 to 1397 of the family's 1533-position model. The record is from RNAcentral.
GUAGCAAACAGGAUUAGAUACCCUGGUAGUCCACGCCGUAAACGAUGUCGACCAGCCGUUGGGUGCCUAGCGCACUUUGUGGCGAAGUUAACGCGAUAAGUCGACCGCCUGGGGAGUACGGCCGCAAGGUUAAAACUCAAAUGAAUUGACGGGGGCCCGCACAAGCGGUGGAGCAUGUGGUUUAAUUCGAUGCAACGCGAAGAACCUUACCUACUCUUGACAUCCUGCGAACUUGUGAGAGAUCACCUGGUGCCUUCGGGAGCGCAGAGACAGGUGCUGCAUGGCUGUCGUCAGCUCGUGUUGUGAAAUGUUGGGUUAAGUCCCGUAACGAGCGCAACCCUUGUCCUUAUUUGCCAGCGGGUAAUGCCGGGAACUCUAAGGAGACUGCCGGUGACAAACCGGAGGAAGGUGGGGACGACGUCAAGUCAUCAUGGCCCUUACGAGUAGGGCUACACACGUGCUACAAUGGCCGGUACAAAGGGUUGCGAGCUCGCGAGAGUCAGCUAAUCCCGAAAAGCCGGUCUCAGUCCGGAUCGGAGUCUGCAACUCGACUCCGUGAAGUCGGAAUCGCUAGUAAUCGUGAAUCAGAAUGUCACGGUGAAUACGUUCCCGGGCCUUGUACACACCGCCCGU